UGGGGAAUCUUGCGCAAUGGGGGAAACCCUGACGCAGCGACGCCGCGUGAUUUAGAAGGCCUUCGGGUUGUAAAAAUCUUUUCUAUGGGAAGAAAAUGACAGUACCAUAGGAAUAAGGACCGGCUAAUUACGUGCCAGCAGCCGCGGUAAUACGUAAGGUCCGAGCGUUGUCCGGAAUCAUUGGGCGUAAAGGGUACGUAGGCGGGUAAGCAAGUUAGAAGUGAAAUCCUGUAGCUCAACUACAGUAAGCUUUUAAAACUGCUCAUCUUGAGAUAUGGAAGGGAAAGUGGAAUUCCUAGUGUAGCGGUGAAAUGCGCAGAUAUUAGGAGGAAUACCGGUGGCGAAGGCGACUUUCUGGCCAUAAUCUGACGCUGAGGUACGAAAGCGUGGGUAGCAAACAGG
This 402-nucleotide ribosomal RNA is filed under the name Verrucomicrobiota bacterium. Its description in RNAcentral is "Verrucomicrobia bacterium partial 16S ribosomal RNA". It matches the Rfam family "Bacterial small subunit ribosomal RNA", at positions 355 to 776 of the family's 1533-position model. Lineage: Bacteria; Pseudomonadati; Verrucomicrobiota. The record is from RNAcentral.